UGAUCAUGGCUCAGAUUGAACGCUGGCGGCAGGCCUAACACAUGCAAGUCGAGCGGCAGCACAGAGGAACUUGUUCCUUGGGUGGCGAGCGGCGGACGGGUGAGUAAUGCCUGGGAAAUUGCCCGGUAGAGGGGGAUAACCAUUGGAAACGAUGGCUAAUACCGCAUAACCUCGCAAGAGCAAAGCAGGGGACCUUCGGGCCUUGCGCUACCGGAUAUGCCCAGGUGGGAUUAGCUAGUUGGUGAGGUAAGGGCUCACCAAGGCGACGAUCCCUAGCUGGUCUGAGAGGAUGAUCAGCCACACUGGAACUGAGACACGGUCCAGACUCCUACGGGAGGCAGCAGUGGGGAAUAUUGCACAAUGGGCGCAAGCCUGAUGCAGCCAUGCCGCGUGUAUGAAGAAGGCCUUCGGGUUGUAAA
Molecule: ribosomal RNA, 419 nt
Filed under: Vibrio cholerae
Lineage: Bacteria; Pseudomonadati; Pseudomonadota; Gammaproteobacteria; Vibrionales; Vibrionaceae
Description: bacterial SSU rRNA
Rfam family: Bacterial small subunit ribosomal RNA
Source: RNAcentral